GAUGAAGAACGUAGUGAAAUGCGAUACGUAAUGUGAAUUGCAGAAUUCAGUGAAUCAUCGAGUCUUUGAACGCACAUUGCGCCCCCUGGUAUUCCGGGGGGCAUGCCUGUCCGAGCGUCAUUGCUGCCCUCAAGCACGGCUUGUGUGUUGGGCCUCCGUCCUCCUCCCGGGGGACGGGCCCGAAAGGCAGCGGCGGCACCGCGUCCGGUCCUCGAGCGUAUGGGGCUUCGUCACCCGCUCUUGUAGGCCCGGCCGGCGCUUGCCGACACAUCAAUCUUUUUUCCAGGUUGACCUCGGAUCAGGUAGGGAUACCCGCAGAACUUAAGCAUAUCAAUAAGCGGAGGA
Molecule: unclassified non-coding RNA, 345 nt
Filed under: soil metagenome
Description: partial contains 5.8S ribosomal RNA, internal transcribed spacer 2, and large subunit ribosomal RNA
Rfam family: 5.8S ribosomal RNA (bases 1-120)
Source: RNAcentral